GAUCCUGGCUCAGGAUGAACGCUAGCGGCAGGCUUAACACAUGCAAGUCGAGGGGCAGCAUGGUCUUAGCUUGCUAAGACUGAUGGCGACCGGCGCACGGGUGAGUAACACGUAUCCAACCUGCCGUCUACUCUUGGACAGCCUUCUGAAAGGAAGAUUAAUACAAGAUGGCAUCAUGAGUCCGCAUGUUCACAUGAUUAAAGGUAUUCCGGUGGACGAUGGGGA
RNAcentral lists this ribosomal RNA (225 nucleotides) under uncultured bacterium. Its description in RNAcentral is "partial 16S ribosomal RNA". It matches the Rfam family "Bacterial small subunit ribosomal RNA", at positions 15 to 231 of the family's 1533-position model. The record is from RNAcentral.